GAGGAGUUAAGUUAAGUCCCGCAACGAGCGCCACCCUCGCCAUUAGUUGCCAUCAUUUAGUUGGGAACUCUAAUGGGACGGCCGGUGCUAAGCCGGAGGAAGGUGGGGAUGAUGUCAAGUCCUCAUGGCCCUUACAGGGUGGGCUACACACGUGCUACAAUGGCGACUACAGAGGGUUAAUCCUUAAAAGUCGUCUCAGUUCGGAUUGUCCUCUGCAACUCGAGGGCAUGAAGUUGGAAUCGCUAGUAAUCGCGGAUCAGCAUGCCGCGGUGAAUACGUUCCCGGGCCUUGUACACACCGCCCGUCACAACCAUGGGAGUUGAGUUCUACCCGAAGGCGCUGCGCUGACCGCAAGGAGGCACAGCGACCCCUGUUGGUCUGA
Molecule: ribosomal RNA, 382 nt
Filed under: Brevundimonas intermedia
Lineage: Bacteria; Pseudomonadati; Pseudomonadota; Alphaproteobacteria; Caulobacterales; Caulobacteraceae
Description: bacterial SSU rRNA
Rfam family: Bacterial small subunit ribosomal RNA
Source: RNAcentral